UUGGAUCUCCUGGCUCUCACAUCGAUGAAGAACACAGUGAAAUGUGAUAAGUAAUGUGAAUUGCAGAAUUCAGUGAAUCAUCGAAUCUUUGAACGCACCUUGCGCCUUUUGGUAUUCCAAAAGGCACACCUGUUUGAGUGUCAUGAAACCCUCUCACAAAAUAACUUUUUUGUUGCUUUGUGGAUGUUGAGUGUUGCUAUAUACUUGUAGCUCACUUUAAAUAUAUAAGUCACACUUUUCAAGUAAGUUGGAUUGACCUUGGUGUAAUAAUUUAAUCAUCACAUCAAGGAAAGUAGCAAUACCUUGCCAUCUUUUGAAAGGAGGGACUCCCAAAGAGAAAACCCCCAUGAUACCUUAGCCAAUCGG
RNAcentral lists this ribosomal RNA (366 nucleotides) under Puccinia coronata. Its description in RNAcentral is "eukaryotic LSU rRNA". The stretch from base 2 to 143 matches the Rfam family "5.8S ribosomal RNA". Lineage: Eukaryota; Fungi; Basidiomycota; Pucciniomycetes; Pucciniales; Pucciniaceae. The record is from RNAcentral.